ACGUGUAUCUGAAAUCAAGUGUGACGACCCGCUGAACUUAAGCAUAUCAAUAAGCGGAGGAAAAGAAAUCAAAUGAGAUUUCCCUAGUAGCUGCGAGUGAACUGGAAUCAAGCCUAUUGCCAAUUCUUAUGUUUUGUACAAUAAGAGAUGAGGUGUAAAGGUAUCUCGUGUUCAGCAGUGGCACGGCCUAAUUAUUAUUGAGUCAGUGCUCAAAGAAGGUGAAAAGCCUGUAUGGUUGCGCCGAUCUGUUGAACCGUGAUACUGGAGAGUCUAGUUGUUUGAGAGUACAACUUAAAGUUGGUGGUAAAUUUCAUCAAAGGCUAAAUAUACGAAGGGACUAAUAGCGAACAAGUACCAUGAGGGAAAGUUGAAAAGAACUCUGACGAGAGAGUUCAACAGUACGUGAAACCACAUUGAGUAAAACAGAUAACUGUGUUGUUAUGUGGUGUGCCUAUCAACAGUCACUUCGGCGUUGCCACGUUUUGGGUGUAGGCUGUCUAUUCAGCUGAAUGCCUAAAACUAGCAUAGUCGGAGGUGCUGUGCACUAGUGCGCACUCGAUCAUUGAGAAGCUAUGCCGCUGCUGCAUCGGUAUGUGUCAGUCCGCACUUAGUGUGUAGUCACAUGCUGGGUAAUUGCUAGCCUUGGCGUAGUUUAGCUGUGUGACAGCUGUGGGUUGCGUUUGUCGAUUGUAGCUGCUGUAUCUGCGAACUGGUUUAUUCCUUUUUGCGGUGAGUAUGUUGCAGGACGCAAGCAGCCCGCCAUCAAUGGUUAACAUUAGUUAUUUGACCCGUCUUGAAACACGGACCAAGGAGUUCAAAUGGCACGCGAGUCAUUGGGUUUAAUCACCCGAAGGCGAAGUGAAAUGCAAACGUAUUGUUAUUUGUGGUUGUUCCAUGAUUAAGCGAUAAGCUACUUAUGCUUUCUGGCAUUUGUAGACUACAAGCGUGAUGUUUGAGACCCGAAAGAUGGUGACCUAUGCCUAGUCAAGAUGAAGCCAGAGGAAACUCUGGUGGAUGUCUGAAGUUGUUCUGACGUGCAAAUCGAUAAUCUGAUCUGGGUAUAGGGGCGAAAGACUAAUCGAACCAUCUAGUAGCUGGUUCCUUCCGAAGUUUCCCUCAGGAUAGCAAGCGUACAUUUUUAGUUUCAUCCCGUAAAGCGAAUGAUUAGAGGUAUUGGGGCGUAUAUAGCCUCAACCUAUUCUCAAACUUUUAAUGGGUGUGAGUGUUCUUUCUCAAUUGAAGAACGCUGUUAAAUAAGUAUGCUUAGUGGGCCAUUUUUGGUAAGCAGAACUGGCGCUGUGGGUUGAACCAAUUGUUGAGUUAAAGUGCCUAAAGCUGGAAUGCGCAUGAGAUCUAUAAAGGGUGUUAGUUGCUGAAGACAGCAGGACGGUGGCCAUGGAAGUCGGAAUCCGCUAAGGAGUGUGUAACAACUCACCUGCCAAAGCAACUAGCCCCAAAAAUGGAUGGCGCUAUAGCAUUGUACUUAUACUCAACCUCUGAUGUGCAGCAUCGGUACACUCAGAGAGUAGGAAGGUAAUGUGAUAGCGUCGAAGGAUUUUGCUGUAAAGUAAUCUGGAGCUGUCACAUGUGCAGAUCUUGGUGGUAGUAGCAAGUACUCAAUUGAAAACCUUGAGCACUGAAGUUGGGGAUGGGUUCCAUGUGAACAGUAGUUGAUCGUGGGUCAGUCGGUCCUAAGCUUAUGAUGAAACAUGUGUUGAAUGUGUAUAAUAAUGUGUUAUCACUGUAAGCGAAAGGGAAUCAGGCUAACAUUCCUGAACCUGUACACCGGUGUGCUACUCUGUAGCAAUCGUGGCAACACAAGUGCGCUCAAAGACACCAAGGGAUAGGCUAGGAAGAGUUAUCUUUUCUUUUUAAGUCACUUGUACCCAUGGAAUGAAGUAGAUUUGAGAUAUGGGUAAGGGUGACAUAAAGCUGCUCAUUUUAGAGUAGUUUAGUUGACUCCCUUGGUCCUUGAAAAUUUGAGCGUGGUGUUAACCUUGGUGGCAGUCCGUACUAGUAUCCGCAGCAGGUCUCCAAGGUGCGUAGCCUUUAGUGUCUAGAUUAAUGUAGGUAAGGGAAGUCGGCAAAAUAGUUCUGUAACUUUGGGAGAAGGGAUGGCUCUGAAGGUUGAUCCAGUCAGGUUGACAGUAGAAGUAUUUAUGACAUUGUGUUGUCGCCGGAUGGGCUUCGUACCCGUCUGGAUGAUGACCGAAGUUGUGCUUAUGGACAUUGUUAGCUGAUUCGGUUUAUUCUGAUAUGACUGGAAAUUAUCAACUACUUCAGAACUGGUACGAACUGAGGGAAUCCGACUGUCUAAUUAAAACAAAGCAUUGUGAAGUCCAGUAAUUGGUUAUGACACAAUGUGAUUUCUGCCCAGUGCUCUGAAUGUCAAAGUGAAGAGAUUCUUUGAAGCGCGGGUAAACGGCGGGAGUAACUAUGACUCUCUAUGUAGCGUAGUUCUCUGGGAUCUCCCAUUGUUAGCGCCCAUGAUGAAACAACAUACUGGGCAACAAGACUACAUAACACUCAUGACGGGGCAUACCUAAAAGACGCACACAAAACCCCAUACACCCACAAUUGGAUCAAAGGUAUGCCCUACCUAUCGGGGAAGGAGUUCAUCCAUCUGGUCAAACUCCGAAUAAACGCACUACCAACGCGUGCCCGUAUGGCUCGUGGUCGACCGGGCUUUAAUAAAAGCUGCCGGCACGGGUGCAAUGCGGUAGAGACGCUAAACCACGCUGUGCAACUUUGCCCCUAUUCGAACAGACCAACAAUAAAGCGUCAUGAUGACAUCAACCAUAAGGUGGCCAGACUCUUUCGGCGCCUGGGAUACACGGUUGACCGGGAGCGUAGCUUUAGGUCCGCCGGCCACCCUGCACUCCGCCCAGACCUCGUGAUUACAACACCCUCCGAGGUCUGGGUGCUUGACACCGAGAUAUGCGGAACGUACCGGACUUGAUUAGGUAGCCAAAUGCCUCGUCAUCUAAUUAGUGACCGCGCAUGAAUGGAUUAACGAGAUUCCCACUGUCCCUAUCUACUGUCUAGCGAAACCACAGCCAAGGGAACGGGCUUGGAUUGAACGGCGGGGAAAGAAGACCCUGUUGAGCUU
Molecule: ribosomal RNA, 3109 nt
Filed under: Dermanyssus gallinae
Lineage: Eukaryota; Metazoa; Arthropoda; Arachnida; Mesostigmata; Dermanyssidae
Description: eukaryotic LSU rRNA
Rfam family: Eukaryotic large subunit ribosomal RNA
Source: RNAcentral